AUACAUGCAGUCGAGCGAACAGACAAGGAGCUUGCUCCUUUGACGUUAGCGGCGGACGGGUGAGUAACACGUGGGUAACCUACCUAUAAGACUGGGAUAACUUCGGGAAACCGGAGCUAAUACCGGAUAAUAUUUCGAACCGCAUGGUUCGAUAGUGAAAGAUGGUUUUGCUAUCACUUAUAGAUGGACCCGCGCCGUAUUAGCUAGUUGGUAAGGUAACGGCUUACCAAGGCGACGAUACGUAGCCGACCUGAGAGGGUGAUCGGCCACACUGGAACUGAGACACGGUCCAGACUCCUACGGGAGGCAGCAGUAGGGAAUCUUCCGCAAUGGGCGAAAGCCUGACGGAGCAACGCCGCGUGAGUGAUGAAGGUCUUCGGAUCGUAAAACUCUGUUAUUAGGGAAGAACAUACGUGUAAGUAACUAUGCACGUCUUGACGGUACCUAAUCAGAAAGCCACGGCUAACUACGUGCCAGCAGCCGCGGUAAUACGUAGGUGGCAAGCGUUAUCCGGAAUUAUUGGGCGUAAAGCGCGCGUAGGCGGUUUUUUAAGUCUGAUGUGAAAGCCCACGGCUCAACCGUGGAGGGUCAUUGGAAACUGUAAAACUUGAGUGCAGAAGAGGAGAGUGGAAUUCCAUGUGUAGCGGUGAAAUGCGCAGAGAUAUGGAGGAACACCAGUGGCGAAGGCGACUUUCUGGUCUGUAACUGACGCUGAUGUGCGAAAGCGUGGAGAUCAAACAGGAUUAGAUACCCGGGUAGUCCACGCCGUAUACGAUGAUUGCUAAGUGUUAGGGGGUUUCCGCCCCCUUAGUGCUGCAGCUAAUGUAUUAAGUACUCCGGCACGCGGAAUACGAACGGCCAGGG
RNAcentral lists this ribosomal RNA (864 nucleotides) under Staphylococcus haemolyticus. RNAcentral's name for it is "bacterial SSU rRNA". It matches the Rfam family "Bacterial small subunit ribosomal RNA", at positions 51 to 873 of the family's 1533-position model. The record is from RNAcentral. Lineage: Bacteria; Bacillati; Bacillota; Bacilli; Caryophanales; Staphylococcaceae.